UAGAGUUUGAUCAUGGCUCAGAACGAACGCUGGCGGCAUGCCUAACACAUGCAAGUCGAACGAAGCCUUCGGGCUUAGUGGCGCACGGGUGCGUAACGCGUGGGAACCUGCCUUUAGGUUCGGAAUAACAGUGAGAAAUCGCUGCUAAUACCGGAUAAUGUCUUCGGACCAAAGAUUUAUCGCCUUUAGAUGGGCCCGCGUUAGAUUAGAUAGUUGGUGGGGUAAUGGCCUACCAAGUCGACGAUCUAUAGCUGGUCUGAGAGGAUGAUCAGCCACACUGGGACUGAGACACGGCCCAGACUCCUACGGGAGGCAGCAGUGGGGAAUAUUGGACAAUGGGCGAAAGCCUGAUCCAGCAAUGCCGCGUGAGUGAUGAAGGCCUUAGGGUUGUAAAGCUCUUUUACUAGGGAUGAUAAUGACAGUACCUAGAGAAUAAGCUCCGGCUAACUCCGUGCCAGCAGCCGCGGUAAUACGGAGGGAGCUAGCGUUGUUCGGAAUUACUGGGCGUAAAGCGCGCGUAGGCGGCUUUUCAAGUCAGGGGUGAAAUCCCGGAGCUCAACUCCGGAACUGCCCUUGAAACUGGAUGGCUAGAAUAUUGGAGAGGUAAGUGGAAUUCCGAGUGUAGAGGUGAAAUUCGUAGAUAUUC
RNAcentral lists this ribosomal RNA (646 nucleotides) under uncultured bacterium. RNAcentral's name for it is "bacterial SSU rRNA". It matches the Rfam family "Bacterial small subunit ribosomal RNA", at positions 1 to 699 of the family's 1533-position model. The record is from RNAcentral.